AGUCAAGUAAGGAAGGGCGCACGGUGGAUGCCUUGGCACGGACAGGCGAAGAAGGGCGCGAUAAGCUGCGAAAAGCUUCGGGGAGCCGCACGUAGGCGUUGAUCCGGAGGUACCCGAAUGGGGAAACCCGGCGGGGGUCAUGCCCCGUCACCCGUGGCUGAAUUCAAUAGGCCAUGAGGAGCCAACCGGGAGAACUGAAACAUCUAAGUAUCCCGAGGAAAAGAAAUCAAACGAGACUCCCCUAGUAGCGGCGAGCGAACGGGGAAGAGCCCAAACCGGUGAUGAGCCGGGGUUGUAGGGCCCAGGUGGGACUUGAGUGUUCCGCCGGUAGCGAUUCGUCUAGCGGAAGCGUGUUGGAACGCACUGCCGGAGAGGGUGAGAGCCCCGUAUGCGAAAGGCGAAGCGCGCUGGUGACCUGGGUACCUGAGUACGGCGGGACACGAGGAAUCCCGUCGGAAUCUGGGGGGACCACCCUCCAAGGCUACAUACUCGUCCGUGACCGAUAGCGAACCAGUACCGUGAGGGAAAGGUGAAAAGAACGCCUAGCGGCGAGUGAAAAGAUCCUGAAACCGUGUGCCUACAAGCGGUAGGAGGGAGGGUAUUCGCGUAAGCGGGUACGGCUCCUGACUGCGUGCCUUUUGCAUUAUGAUCCGGCGAGUUGCUCGUCGCGUGCGAGGUUAAGGUGUUCAGCACCGGAGCCGGAGCGAAAGCGAGUCUGAAGAGGGCGAACAUAAGUACGCGGCGGCAGACCCGAAACCGAAGCGAUCUACCCAUGGCCAGGAUGAAGCUCGGGUAACACCGAGUGGAGGUCCGAACCCGUUCAUGUUGAAAAAUGUUGGGAUGAGCUGUGGGUAGGGGUGAAAGGCCAAUCAAGCUCGGAGAUAGCUGGUUCUCCCCGAAAACUAUUGAGGUAGUGCCUGGGAGCGUGUGUCGCGGAGGUAGAGCACUGGAAGGACGCGGGGCCCCACCGGGUUACCAACUCCUACCAAACUCCGAAUGCCGUAGACAUGGACUCCUGGAGACAGCAUGCGUGCGAUAAUGUGCGUAUACGAGAGGGAAAGAACCCAGACCGUCGGCUAAGGCCCCCAAGUGCGGGCUCAGUGAGAAAGGAUGUGGAUGUGCACUGACAACUGGGAGGUUGGCUUAGAAGCAGCCAUUCCUUGAAAGAGUGCGUAAUAGCUCACCAGUCAAGUGCGUCUGCGCCGAUAAUGGUCGGGACUUUUAAGUCCGCCGCCGAAGCCACGGAU
This 1247-nucleotide ribosomal RNA is filed under the name Gemmatimonadota bacterium. Its description in RNAcentral is "partial 23S ribosomal RNA". It matches the Rfam family "Bacterial large subunit ribosomal RNA", at positions 1 to 1207 of the family's 2925-position model. The record is from RNAcentral. Lineage: Bacteria; Pseudomonadati; Gemmatimonadota.